Molecule: RNA transcript, 1278 nt
Organism: Panicum virgatum (switchgrass)
Lineage: Eukaryota; Viridiplantae; Streptophyta; Magnoliopsida; Poales; Poaceae
Gene name: rac-like GTP-binding protein 4
Exons: 9
Source: RefSeq, a predicted model, not a curated record
GAGGUGGCCUCUCAAGCAACUGUGAGAACCGGUCAGAGGGACUUGAGACAAGAGAGAGAAAGCAUGUGACCCCUCUCUGUCUCUCUUACUUCCCUCCUCUUCUACAAGGAGCCAGUGAGCCACAACCACACCAAAUAGCAGAAGAACAAGCUCCUCGCCUUGCCUCUUGUUCUCUGCUCUGCCUACCUCUGCUCAUUUCUUUCUUCCACCUUGGGCCUUGGCUAUGGCAUCCAGCGUGUCCCGGUUCAUUAAGUGUGUCACGGUGGGGGACGGCGCCGUGGGGAAGACCUGCAUGCUCAUCUGCUACACCAGCAACAAGUUCCCCACUGAUUACAUACCCACUGUCUUCGAUAACUUCAGCGCAAACGUUGUGGUCGACGGCACCACGGUGAACUUGGGCCUUUGGGACACUGCAGGACAGGAAGAUUACAACAGGUUGAGGCCCCUGAGCUACCGCGGAGCCGAUGUGUUCGUGCUCGCCUUCUCGCUCGUCAGCCGAGCUAGCUACGAGAAUGUUGUUAAGAAGUGGCUACCCGAGCUUCGGCAUUAUGCACCGGGUGUCCCCAUAGUUUUGGCUGGAACUAAAUUGGAUCUUCGUGAAGACAAGCACUACUUACUCGACCAUCCUGGUACAGUACCUGUUACUACGGCACAGGGGGAGGAACUUCGCAAGCACAUCGGAGCAACAUGUUACAUGGAGUGCAGCUCAAAAACUCAGCAGAAUGUCAAAGCUGUGUUUGAUGCUGCCAUCAAGGUAGUAAUAAGGCCUCCGACAAAACAAAGGGAAAGGAAGAAAAAGAAAGCACGGCGGGGAUGUUCAAUAUUUAAGAGUUAAUCUUUUUUACUCUGUUCUGGCGACUCAAAAAUGAGCUUGUGGGCAUUGUCUUAAGCACACAUUGAUUUCUUGUUUUUUUUUCUGGUUUUUCUUUUGCAAACGCCGAAUCAUGCACAAAAGGAGACUAGGAUGCUUCAAGUGAUCGAAGGCCUUAUUCGACAAUCACAUAGGUUUCCAAGGCGAAUCGAGAUCACGUGUAAUUGCAUCCAAGUUUCAAAGUGCUUGUUGCUCUUGCGCACUUGCGCCAGUAAUGUGUAUAUUUACGGCUUUAGCAAUUGACUUCUAGGAGAUAUGUGAAGUAUUUUGUUUGUUUAUGUACCAAUCCAAUGGCUCAUAAUGAGUUAGGAAGUUCAAUACAUCCUGAGAUGUAACGAUAUAUUCUUCCAGUGAGCCUAACUGUUCAUAUUAAUUUAUUCAAAAAACUAUAGCAUGCGUUUCCCUCA